This is a long non-coding RNA of Xenopus laevis (African clawed frog), 1270 nucleotides long. RefSeq lists it as uncharacterized. The record is from RefSeq and is a predicted model, not a curated record. NCBI's taxonomy places the organism in Eukaryota, Metazoa, Chordata, Amphibia, Anura, Pipidae. The transcript has 5 exons.
CUAACAAAGAUCGCAAAGGGAAGGUGCCAGGACAGCGGAACAGGAGGAAGUCGACGGUGUCAUACAAGCUAAACCCUAUUGCGAGCAACUGGAAUGCAGAGAAGUGGGAUCUGAGCAGACUUAACAACGCUCGAGUAAACUCCAGCGAUCCUCCGCUAAUGAGAUUUUUGAAGAUAGUAGCGAUGAUGAUGACGACGAUGAUGAUAUUUACCUAGACAUUACCGAUGCUCCGGAUAAAACAGCACCAGAAGAAAUAGCCACAGAUGCUACAGACUAUGCAGAAAAUAACAAAGAUCCGGGAGAAAGUCUUGAAGAUAAUGAGGAUGAGGAUGAAGAAAGCCAAAAUGUUGAAAAAAAUCUUGAAGAUAAUGAGGAUGAGGAUGAAGAAAGGCAAAAUGUUGAAAGUAAGAUUUGAUUUAUUUUUUUAUUUUAAGGAAAUUUAUAUUAGAACCAAAGAAUAGAAAUGCACAUAAAACUGUAUAAAUUGCAGACUUUUUCACAGCUACUUGUGUCAAUAUACACUCCUCUAAACUUACAUGUUGAACUGAAUUACCACAUUACUUAGCGAGUGACUGCAGUUGUACUGGGAAACAAUACUGCAUUGUGGGUUAAAACAUGACAAAUUGCAUCUAUGUUUGUGCUUUACACUUGCAUUAGUAGAUGAGCCCCCUUGUUACAUAUUGUAAUACUGUUUGCCCAAUUCUUCAAACCCGUAAAAAAUUAUGCAAUUAUUUUAUUAUUUGAACUAAGCAGACAGUGAAAGAAUGCAGUGAAUGCAUCAUUUUGGGGUUCGGAUAAAUUAAGAAUCUUCACAUAAGAUUUGGCUGAAAACCAAGUCCCCCUCACUUUAUUAAGACUUUCAAAUUCAGUUUGGCUAGGCAAAGAUUAAAGUUAACAGCAUAAUUCUGCUUGUGUUAUGGUAAAACCUCAAUAAAACAUUUGAAACACAAAGAUUAAGGGGCAGAUUUAUCAAGGGUCGAAUUUCGAAUUCGAAAAACCACGAAAUUUGAAUUAAAAAAGACCGACGAAAUAAAAUUGAAGGGAUUCUUUUGGCCGAAUAGGUCUGGUUUCGAUUGAAUAGGUCAGUUUUCGAUCGUAUUCGAAUCAUGGUUCAACAUUUCCACCAAUUGACUCCGAAAAGGUUCUAGGAGGUCCCCCAUAGGCUAAAACAGCAAUUCGGCAGGUUUUAGAUGGGGAACUUUUAAAGAGACAGUACUAGUGAUGGGCGAAUUCGUCCUGUUUUCCUGCAGAUUUCAUGGGAGAUUCACGA